UUUAACAUUUUCUUGGUUUUUGAACUGACUCCAAUUACAUUUACAUUUUUCUGGGGACGGUGCCCCGAACCAGAUGCACUAAUACAAGUGGAGACCCAUCAGGGGUGUAUUCAAGACAGUCUGGUUUCAUUUCCAUUUUGGAAAACAAAACAAAACAAAACAGAACUGUAAUUUUGUUAACGCUACCAGAUGUUUUGCUAUCGCCAGCAGAAGUUGAAAAAAAGACACGACACCACGAACCUAUGGGGAAGAAGUUCUCUGAAUGCAAAAGGCAAGCUUACUUUUGCCCCUUCUAUUAAAAAUACGUAAUUCAAAGCUCUGUUUGCAACACUCGGAUUCCCCAAGUUUCUGCCUCUUCAAGGCAUACGUUCCAGGGACAAGGUCUAAAACCAGAAUUCCUUCUAUCUGUUAAGCUACAAACAAGUUCACGGCACACACGGAGAGAAUUGAACCCAUUUGGUCCAAUGACAGGGAGCCCAGGAGGGCUCCCAAGUACAGCUAAUGGCACUCAUUUUGUUUCCAGAGAUUUAGAGCAAGGUAACACUCUGUUAGGAAACGUUUAAGCCUUUUUUAAACGAAAAUGUAGCAGCCUUUUACAAGUAGACUUGGAAGUGCCUUGUAUACGUGGAAAGGGCUGCUAAGUUAAAACAGUUUGCCCACAGCAGCAUCUGGCAGCUUGUUUACAGCAGUCAGCAACUUAGGUGUCAGGGAACAAGGUGUAAUGAGGGCGGAUAACUAAUGUUUACUAAUAGCACCAUCUAUAAUUUAUUGCUAUUUUCAUCAGCUUAUGUGCCAUCGGAAGCCAAAAUAGCGGUGGCUGGGGACCAGAGAAGGAAGGAGGGCCACAAAACUCGGAGGGAGAAGCUCCUGUCAGUCAGUGCCAGGCUAUUGCAUGUAUACUUCCAGAAUCGUGUGCCAUUCAGCAAAGGAGAGUCGUUUCACUCAGCCUUGGUAAGAAAUAGUACUAGCAGCUCUUGUAUAAUUCAUUUUAUCCACAGAUCUCGCUACACUUUAAAAAGCAGAACAUUGUUAUUCCUGUUUUGUGGGUGUGAAACUUAGGCAAGUCAUUUUGCCUUUUUUUUUGCCUCGGGUCAGCCAAGAAGCCAGUGGCAAAACCAAAAAUAGAGAUCAGCUCAAUCCACGAGCACACGCUGUCUUCUCAUUUAAAUUCUACAGUAAGUAGAAUGGUAUCAAGUCUCAAUUCAUCUUCCUUCCUUAGGGUGUUUUAGGAGAUUAUAGCUUAUUCUAAAUAGAAUUUGUUUCCACAAAAAGCCAAUAUAUUUUUAGACGAAGAUUAACAAUUGUGACAUCCCAGCAGGCAUCUGCUAAUAGUGCUGCUCUGAGUUCAUAUGCAUUUUCAAGAAGCAUGUUCAGCCAUACACAUUCUUGUUUUAACAGUGGCUAGACCACGACUUGAUUCUUCUCUCAGUUAUGUUGGCAUCGACAAGCAACUCCAACGAAAGCAACGUAAUUACACUGGUGAAAAAACAGGCUUGGUGAGAUGAGGAUCUGGGCCUCGGUGUUUCAAGUAGGACAGCAAAACAACUGCCUGUGGGAAUCCAACAGCUUGCCAAAGACGGGAAGGUCACCUUUUUUAUUGUUUUGAUGAAAAGGCACAAGGCAAAGGGCAAAGGAUCAAGUUGGAACAGUGAUUUGUAAUUAGCCAAUUUUAAAAAUAGGCUAACAGACUAGGCAAGAACACACAGCAAGUUCCUGUAGCUCACUGUAAACAAAAAGAACCACCUCGUUGCAUUUCAGGCAUGAUCGCUGAUCCUUUCAGAACAAUUCUCCUCUCCAGAAGCCUGUUUGUAUCUUCAAUAUUAAACAAAUUCAAAGUCCUGAUCUCUAUAUAUAGCCUGGAGGUUUCACUUUCACUGACACAGGUCAUUUUAACUAGGAUCAGCAAACUGACCGAAGCUGGUAUACAGCAGGCACGGUGGGCUGGGACGGAGGAGGAGGUGAGUGAGGGGACGCUGCCUGCACCAGCCGUGCUGCUUUCUAUGCUGAAAAUGCUGAAUGCUACCUAACGAGGGUUUGCGUUAUGAGUACGGUAUGCUCAGCUCAGCAGGUAUGUGGAAGAAAAGCAGAAAGCAUCAGUGUAUUCCUGAGAAAGGACGUGGUUUUGGUGUGCAUGAGAAAGGAAAAUAAGUGAAAAAAAAAAACCUACAUUGACAUUUCUCUUCAGAAAAAAUAGGAAAAAGAAAACAAUGCUCUCAUCAGGCAAUUCAGAGGGAAGAGAAUUUGUAUGUUAGAUGGGAUGUCACGUUAUCUAAGAUGACUGUCAUGUGCAGAGUAUCAAAAGAAAAAGUCAAACUUUUUUUUUUCUCUUGAGGAAAGGUGAAGAUAAUCCGGGGUAUCAAAACAGUAGCAGAAACGCUGCAUGUCAAAGUGUCUUAAUAAAACAGAACACGAUGUAAAGGCCUAGAAUUUAGCUUUGAUUCUGUUCUCUUUGAAUCCCUCAACAAAACUGGCUCCUUCUCCCCUCCUGGGAAUUCCCUAGAAUGGGGAAAAUCCCUGUGAGAUUAGAGUAGGUGUAACUAGCCACUGUCUAGUACAUACAAUUUGCUGGGCUUUCAUGAUCCUCUGAGCUGACAAAUACAAAGGAAAGAACAGUUCUUGCCUCUAACUAGGAAUAUUAGUACAUCAUUGUGGUGAAAAAGCCACCGACCUCUUUUGGAUCUGGCUUAACAUUUUGGUUUAGCCUUGGUCUCUUUUGUCUCGCAUAAUUUUUAAAGAUUUGAACAUGUUCUAUGGGAAAGUAUCCAUAACGCUGAGACAAAAAGACCACAAUUCUUUUCAAAAUCUGAUGGUCUUGACUCGGUCGUGCUUUCAUCCCUUUUAAUAAUCCACUAAAACAUCUUAUUAGAACGUAGACAUUUUUCAGGAUUUGUGAAGAGACUACCUCAGGAACUUAACUACAGCUUGAUUUAAAUACAGGGCUAUCAGGUUCUAGGUUCUUAGUCUCACUUCACAUCUCUAAUGAUUGAAAAAAUCAUUAGGAGACAAUUAGAAAUAAUAGGAAAUAUUCUACGCAUUCUUCCCCCUAUUUCCCUGAAUGUGACAAGUCUUUCCUUAACAAAAGGUAACUUUUCAGAAAAUUCAUAUUAUUGGUUAUCAUUUCUUGUAUGUUUGAUGGUCUGGUACCUACUGUAGUGCACAGUAAUGAAUAGUGGAAAAAUACCACCCAAAUUGUUACCUGGAAAAAUAAUUGAGGGUUAAAGAACAAUCCCUUCACAGGACAGUGCUGAUGGACCGUGGCAGUGUGAGUUGCAAAAACUUUACCCCAUCAUCCAGCUGAGGGUUUUUUAAAAACUUCUUUGAUUUUCCACAACUACAGUCUGUCACUGCAGUGCAAACAAGUGAAUGAUGAAUUGGUGCAGAGCAGCAGGAAUCUUUUCAAUCAGGGAAAAGAGGUAUUUUAUCAAACGUAUUUAUAUAUAUUUUAAAGGCAGACUAUUUCAUAGAUCUCGUUACUGAAUGGAUCAACAGCUGACCUGACACAAGUGGUGAAAAUCUCUAGGACGGGAGAAAAUGAAACGAAUGGCUGAGACUACAGGAUUUCAAGAGUGGUAUCGUCUUAUAUGAGUUUUGACUCUUCCAAAAUAUCAUUGUGCAAUCACAACCUCAAUUUAAAAAGACCAAAACACAUAACCUGCAGAACGAGAACGGAUGUCCACGGCUCUUCAACAAGAACUUCCAUGAAUAUUUCUGCUGACCCACUGCACAGAAGGAAAUUUUACCGCACUAGAUCUUAAAAGAUGUAACAAAGAAGGCACCCAGAUGAAUAUCCUGAAGCAUUUGCGGUAGCACACUGUGGUGCACAUCACUGAAAUGACGAUAUCACCAAGAGAUCAAAAUUCCUAAAUUAUGUUAGGAGCAUGAAAACUUCAGCACAAAGGAAUUAUUUAUUGGACUAACUGCCAAAAGUAAAAAGUUUUCUCAUGGAACAAUUAGCUUUUCCUUACAUCUCUAGCAGUUAACUUUUUGGAAAAAGGUGGGCACACUGAUGCUUCCAUAAUCUGUGGAAUGUGUGAUUCUGAACUUGAAGCUCUGAAGAGAUUCAAAACCCCAAACCAAACAGGAAUGUAUCUUCAGAUAUUUAAGUUUAACAAACAUUCCAUCAUUCGUACCAAACAUCUGUUUUGUGUUUAGGAAAGAUUGUGGAAAUUUUCAAAAUUACUACUCGCUAACUUUAUUUCCCUCCCACGUUGUUCUUCAUUGAUGUCUCUCGAUUACAUUAUUUUUGGAACUGCAGUUACAUAAUUAUUUUCAAGGCAAUGUGAUGGUGAUGUUAGAAUAGGCUGUCUGAAACAUACUGUACUCACCCAGGACUGAAGAAGGCUGCCUACGGUUCCUAUGCUGAACAGAACGUUGUAUCACGAUGAAAUACCAGGCUUAAAGCAGAAAAAAACAACACAAAUCAAAAUAACCUUUGCAACCCAAGCAAAGGGUGAUCUUUACAUGCCCCAGGAUGGAUUUAGAUAUAUGGAUACCCUGGAUAUACGUACAGGCAGGGGGACGGGAGGUUGGAGAGCAGCCUGUUUCACUCAUGCAGAAAAAAGAUUGCCUGCUGACCCCCUUACAAAUUUGGUCCUCUGUCUUUUAUAGGUAAAAAUAAAAAGGACUGCCCUUCCCUGCUCCCCGUUGCUCUCCCCGUUAUGUAUUGGGAUUUUGUGCAAAAGCAUGUUGUGCUUUAGGAACUACGAUAUUAAAAGCAACAUCAUAGAUGUGUUUUCACUACACAGUCAUUAAGACACAGUACAGCACAAUCCAAAUGCUACUCAUUUUCUCCAGUAAGAAGUUGCUCUAAAAGCUUGUACCCAAGAGAAUAAUUUUGACGAAUCAGAAGUUUUUCAUCAAUUUUCUAAGUACAGUGCCUCCCACAGAAUCCAGAUGGGUCACAAAUGAAAAGUAUAAACAAAAGAAUACUUAGUUUACGUAUGCUGACCCAAUUUAUCAUAGAUAAAAAAGGCAAUCCAUAUAAGUAAUAUGCCAAAUUCUCAUGCUUUCACUAGACAAGUUUUUACUUUGAAACUAGCUUACCCUUGAUUUACCACUAAAAAACUGUACCUGAAAUUCUAUCUAAUUAUAAAGGCAUCUCCUACAGCCUUGGAUUACAAUAACAUCAAGGUUGUGGGGCAAAUAUGAGAAUCUGCACUGUGCAGGGGGUGCUGGAGUUUUGCUGGCAACGCCUACCUCAGCCAGGGCAGGCAGGCACCUCCUCUACCUAACUGCCUUCACCUUUUGUACCAUUUAAGUUCCCUUGUGAAAGACAGAUCUCUAAAUAUCAGAAAGAUGUCAAUCUGCAUACCCCUGGCUUGUUACACCUGCCAGCAGACAACUCUCAUGUCUCUAGUAAUGCCCAGAAUUUCACGAGCAACGGGGAAUGAAAACUGAAGGAAUAUCUGCUCCUUUUCACUGCCUCGAUACGGAGCACUAAUGAGCUCCAGCAGCUGCUUUUCCCCAACAGGUCAUUUUCUUCUUCUGCCUGGCCAAAAAAGAAAAAAAAAAGAUUGAAUAAUACUAGCAGGAUAUUCCCAAUGAAUAAUAUUAACGGGAUCAAGCAAUUAGAAGGAAGAAGGUAUAUUCACUCUCCUUACAGCUAAGAACUUGGAAAAUGCCUGCCUUUCCACCCAAGUACUGAACUUCAUCUCUCUUCUUUUCCUUUCCAUCUUUUGUUUUCUUUCUGCUGUGUAUACUAUCAAGUUUUACGCAUUUUAUAUAAACAGGGACCUGAGAGAGGAUAGAAGUAUAGAAAGUGAUGGAUAGAGUAAAUUAGCAAAAGGGAAUUAUGAUUCUUUGGAAGCAACGUUAUUUUUGGAAAGAUGAGAGGCAGGAAAAGAGCAGUAUGAAAAACAAGUGCACGGUAAGAACAUGAUGCAGAAAGAUAAGAACAAGAGGUGGAGGCAAAUAAGAGGAAAUCAUACAUGGUUCAGGGAUGGCAUGCUAUUGAUCUAGUAUGGGUAAAAAAGGGAGAAAAAUGGACUAAAGUCAGAAAUGGAAAGCAGAAAUAAUGAAACCCAUAAGGGAACACACAACUGAUAUAUUCGGGAACAUUACCACCUUAUUUUAUAAUUAGUUGUCACAAAGAUCAACGUGUUCUCUGAAGCUGCACCUACUUAGGCAACACACCGGUGAAAAAUCUUUCUGCGUCUUCUCCAGGCUCCAAGUGUAUGUUACUGGGCUGGGAAGGAACCGGGGACGGCAGCAUCAGAUAACUUACUGGAGCCUGAUAUAGGGGCUAACAACCGGAGCCUUAUAAAACAAGCAAACAAAACCUUACUAGCAAACUCCUGUGGAAAGAACAGCUCAGACAGCUCCCAGAGGCAAGAGCAUAUAUAUGCCUGCCCAGAGUGGUUUUACACAAAUUUGUUACCAUCGACUCCGUACGAUUCUUCUUGCAGCUUUUGAUUUGUGCCAGCAGCUCUUCAGCAUCAGGAGUACUAAAAUUUACCCAAAGACAUUUAUGUCUCGAAAUGCAUCUAGGAAAACAGCUAUUUGCAUUAAGAGAACAGCCAGCAAGUAAUUCGUUAACAAGACAGAACAGAAGUAUUAAUCAUAUCAUUCUGUGGCUCAUUAAGGCGGGAGAAAAUACAACAGCCUCAGUGCUGGGUGUUAAAAUGCAAUACAUAACAAUUGUAUUUAUUGUGGCAAAUAUUUUCAAAGGAGUUUCUUUAGAAAAUCUCCCCUUUGACUGCAGUGAUUCUUGUAUGGCAAACAGCUCCAGACUGAAAAGGCAAGAGAUGCAUUAUUUUAAAUAGUCAAAAAGACAAUUUCCAGUAAGAGUGCGGAAAAUCACCCAAACAAUAAAAACUGUGGAAGUUAUAUGACAAAAGAGCAGGGCAAGAAAUUAUAGAUACAGUAACAACCUAGUAUCCAAUCUGUGUCAUGGGAGUACAGCAGAAGCCCAAGGAACACCCUGAAGUACCGACAAUACCAACAUCCAGUGCAUUGCUGGUUUGCAUUUAAUUAUUUGCAACUGCACAGCAUCCAGGGACUCUACCAAAAGCAGAAGACCACAGAGUUGUGCUGUCUGUGAAGGAGGAUGUUAUAAUGGGAAGCAACGGCCACGUGCUAUUUGCACAGUGCUGAGACAAAAUUCCUGUAGCAGAAAUUAAAACAGACCCUUCACUCCUGGUGUUGAUAUCGGAAAAAUGGCAAAAAAGCUUUUAUCCCAACAACCUCUUUCCCUGAUCAUAAGGUUACUACUUGCUGGCUUUCAUUGUCUUCAUACAGAGGGAUCGCUCUGGGUUCUCCAGAGGCAGGUGAAGCCUCAGCACCAAUGCAGAACGAUGGGGAAGCUGGACGCUGGGGCUGCUGUAACAUCACCUCACUAUAUGCCCAGUAAAUAUGGGCCAGGUCCGCUGUGGCACUUCAGUCUCCAAAAAAACUGCAUACAAUAAUUCCCUCUCUCUUUCCUUCUCUCUUUAUUCCAUUCCAGCCUGGCAUCGCCUGGUUCUGUCUCCAUGAUCUGCAGUGGGAAAAGGAGCUUUUUUGUACGGUAGCAUCUAACGUGGUAAUAAUUUCAGGGAGAACUUUUUCACAUCCUGGAUGUUCAGAGAACAUGGAUACAAGCAAGUCUUGUAUGUAAUUAGGGCACAGCAUUUUGAGAUUUUCUUGUAACGCUCUGCCCCAGAUUAUUCAAGCAGGUAUUUUAUGAGAGUUCAAUUCUAUUAUGUGGGAAAGCAGGCAGGACGAAAUGCGCACAGGAGAAGUAGACUUCUGUAAUUAAAGUACGUAACCAAAGAAACGGCUACCAAUUUUGCCUCACGUUGCAAUACCCUGACUGACGACCUCCCUUCUCUGGAAACUUUUAUCUGAUCUCUUUUCCCUCUCUCUUCGCACUUGUUUAGGAAAUUCUACCUCCUUGGCUUAAAGAUUCCUAAGUAUUUGAAGGGACGAAGUCAGUAGUGCUGUGAAUCCACCGCUUGCAUCUUGCGGCAGUAGCAACUGCUCUAGCACUGGACUCAUUUCAAAUGAAUGAAUUUUAUUUUGCCAUCACGGUGGUGAAACCAGCCUCUGCUGUCACCAAACCACGAGCAAGCACGCACAUAUUGAGGAAGGCUCACCAAAGAGAUUCAGCUACCGAUAGCUGGCAAAUAGGGCACGCAUUAAAGAGAUGAGAAGACCGAUAGGCGCAUUGUUCUACUUUUGUGGGUAGUGUCUAAUAGUUUACUGACCUCCAAGGGGGAAAAAUGCCAGUCACAUGAGACUGGGAAUUGGCGGUGCUGUGAGCGAAGCCAAGAAGUGGCUCUGAAUAACAUAAACCAACGAGGAGUGCCAGAGUGUUUCAGACAAGUGCUCUUUGCGUGGCGAGAGAACACAAGAUGGAGUAGCUGAUUUUCUUCUCCCACUUGGAAAAUACACCCCCAAAAACUUAUCACCUGCUAGGAUCAAAAUGUUUCUGGAUUCAUUUACUCCAUUACCCAAGUGAACUCUCUAGAGAAUUAAGCAAUAGUUUCCUUGCCUCAUAUGGUCUAAACCUAAAAGCUUGGUAAACAUUAGCUUUAUCUCACAAACCAUAAUUUUUAAUUGCUAACACACAUAGGAAGGGCAUAAUCCUCCGCUGAUGAUAUCAUAGUCUACUGCCAUGGAAAUGACUGCAGUACCAUAAACACAGGUUUAAGAUGACCUCACUUUAGUAGGAAAGAGGGAAAUUUCAGAGGAAUGUGAAUGGCAUUGGGAAUAAACACCCAGAGAUACUAUGCAGUGAAAACACUCUCUUACUAGCUGGGUAAAGUACAGAAGAGGAAGACGACAGCGAGGAGAGCAGCGUGGGAGCUCUCCUGUCCAAGCACCGUAUCACUGCCUCUGGAUUUUCGAGCACAGAGCCCUCUGAACUCAUGUCAGGGUUCCUCUCCAUCAACCCGCUGCAGACAGGAGUGAAAUCCCUGCCCUGACAGGCUUACAGGGUAACCACAUGAGCAUGAACAAAGCAUGGCUCUGAGAACGCAGGGCAGGAUCACAGAACAACACUGGAGCUGGAAUGCUUCCUAGAAUGAGUAAGUGCCUCAGAAGUGGGAGGAAGAGAACCAUACAGCCUCUUGAAGCACACAAAAUAACAUGAAGUCAGACGCAAAUUCAGAAGUACACUCGCAGUGUGGCAAGUGCUAAGCACUUUGGCAGCAGCUCAGGAAAAUCCAUAUAUUUAACCUUCAGCUCUGAAGUAACCGGAGAGGCGUCAAACAACUGAUGGAUUGGAAGCCGAAACCUGUGGGUGAGCUCCGUGUCGCCGUGAGCUGGGAAUGUUGAGUACCGUGCAGGACCCUGAGCUGGGAUGAGAAAAGAGCUUGAGCUGGGAACAGGGAGUGGAGAAAUGUGGAAGGCGAUAAUGAUCUCACUUAAGGAGAACCUUUCAUCUUGAAGGAUCUCAAAGCAAUUUACAAACUUAACCAGACCAGACACUGCAGCUGGUAGGAGCAGAAGCAGACAUCUGGGAACUCAUUCAUGGGAAGGAGGAGGUAACAGAGGCCUUACUGGGUGCUGGAUCUUCCAAAAUGCUGUUGCUGGGAGAAGAUAGCAGGGCUAGAGCAGAGCUUUGCUCUGCACCUUGCCAAGCAGCCCUGUGAGAAAGCUGCAGAAGGCAAGCAGGCAGCCAGGGCUGGCAGAAAGAGCAGCAGAAAAACAGGGGCCCUCUGGAUAGCUGGGGAGCUGUCACUGUUAGCCUUGUAGCUUCCCUGCCUGGUUUCUCAGCCCCAGCUCCGCAGCUUCUUCACGCCUCCUGCAGUAAAACCUCAUGCCUUGCCUGGCAUUUCCGCCCGUUCAAAACCUCUUUCCUACCUCUCUGCAAAGGCGACUCCACCCACUCUUGCUCCCCAAACUCCAAAAUGUUUCCCAAAUGAGCAGGAGGACAAGUAAUGGGAAGAAAUGACUUCGGCUACGGCAUUUAUGUCGUGCAGGCCUGACUGCAGUACCACGAGGGGUGUUCUUUAGCUCAAAAGCACCAGCAAAUACAUACUAUUAAAACUGAGGUAGGUAAGUCUAAAACAUGAGAGUCUCAUUAGUGACUGCUGAAAUGGGGUCGCUUUCGGAGGGGAGGACAGCACCUAACUGCAGCACGCAGGAGAUCAGUGCUCGAUAUGGUGAGGCCAAAUAAAAGGCAGGGAGGUUGCACUUACAUGGAAUCCAGAAAGCAACGCUUCAGUUCCACUUAAGUUAAAAGACACUGCGUGAUCAGCUUAACAUCCCUAUUUCCCAAGGCUUUUAAAACUUCCACGUCUCCGUUUAAGAAAGGGAAAAAAAAAACCGUUUUCCUGGAUAAGAGCCAAAGACAAGUGUCGAGCAGGUGUUCUAACACGACCGGCCCUCCUCAGACAGCAUCCUCUGCUACACAAACAGCAGUUUCUUUCAGAAAGUGCCAGCUCUGCUCAGUGGUGCGCUGUCUCUUCCUUGUGGUUCGUAACCUUGGCUGCAAACGCGGCUCUUCUAAUGGGUUAAAAACAGCCCUUGGUGGCCUUAGCCUAGAUAUCUUGUGUUAAUUUGAGUAAAAUCCACCCGGACCUUUUCCUCCCCACCCUGCUUCACCUCUUUAAUAUUUUGUUAUUGUUUUGUGAGAAGCACUUUGCUGGAAGCUUUUCAUGUCUGGACUGUGAUACCCAAUACUUUUAGCCCAGUAAAACAUUAAACUGUGUUGCACCCUAGAAUAAACCUAUCACUUAGAUUUCAGGGGGCAAUUUAAUUAAUGUCACAUUACAAUUUACUGAAAAGCCUCUUCUGACACAAAUGAGCUUUGGAUCGAUCAGGCCCUGCAUCAGAUGAGCAAUGUCUGAGCCAUUUCUGGUAUUCAAACCUGCAUAUAAAUAGAACAAUUUUCUUCCUGAAGUCCAUUAUUAAGGAUUUCAUCAACUUGAUUUUUACCGCAUUCUUCUUUUCAGACCCCAAGAUACAGCUUUCUUUCUGCCAGGGAAGAGAAGGCAGAGGGGAGCUGCCCCACACCACACUUUAGAUCCUCUAAAACCAGGGCAGAGCACCAAAGCAGAGAGCCUGAGCACCCUGCAUGUGCUGUACAGGCAAACUUUGCUAGGUCAGAGAAGAGGAGGGAAUGAAGGCGCUGAAAUCAAGCCCAGAUUUUUCACUAUUACAUAAACCAAACAAUUCACAGAUGACACAUUCUCUCAUGCCUUGAUGCCUUUCUCUGGAUCCAAAAGAUUAAUUUCCUCAACUGGACUAAGCUUGUAUUCCUUCACAGUUGUGCUUUCCCAUGCUGCUGGCAACGGCAGAUUGACUAGAAUGAGGAGUGGCUGCUGCAGGGGAAGCAUUACAGAUAAAAACAAAAACACAAAUGAAAUGGAUUUGAAGGAUUCUAGAACACUUUUCUCUGCUGCUAGGAGAAGCAGAAGAGGAGAAAAAAAAAACAACAUGAAAGCAAGAAUAAAAACAUUAAAAUGUGGUGACUGUGCAUGCCUGAGAAAUGGUGGAAAUGAGAACAUGUGUGAAAGACCUGGAAACAAAGCAAAGCAGAAAAUGAAGGCACACGUGAGACUUUCCCUGCUACCUCAAAAGAAACAUACAAAAAUUCCUUUUCACAUUCCCGCAAAAGCCUGAAAUCAUUGUCCCAAAUACUGCAUUUCAAGGAAGAAAGUACAUAUAGAGCUUAGGAUGAGGGAUUUCCAAGGAGACAGGGAGUCCUUUACUUCAGCACUUCGCUGACAGUAGCCACCAAUAGAGGCUUAAGAGGAGGAUGCAGAAUCUCCCCGCAGAGGUACCUUUGCCAUUUUGCACAAGCAGAGAUCGUGCUCUUAGGGGACUCGACACAGCCGUUGGCUGCUCCGGGAUGUUAAUUCCAGCUGCGCACUUGUCACUACAGUCCAGUCUGGCAACACACUACUUUGCAGCUCAGUGCUUUCUCCACCAUUUCGUUCUCCUCUCACUGAGCACCUUCAGUCAAUCAGUUUGCUUUUUGUAGAAGUUAUUAACGACAGUGGUCGCAACAGGGGGCUGGAAGCCGAAAUUUUUUAAUUCUAUUCCCUAGAGGCAAUAAAGCAAUCUGAGAGGAGGGAAGAGGUCCGCCAAAAACUAAGAUUUCAAAUCUUGAACAUCCUAACAAAUGUAGUUUUCCAGUAUUUGGGCUGUGGUCUCGUUCUCUUGAAUUCAAGUGAAAAACUGUUGCUGUUGUGACUAUCCAAGGCCUUUUUUUCCAUCUUACAUUUUGUUCUUUGCUUCUGCUGUUUUCAAUUGCCAUGCCAAAGUUUCUCCUGUUUAUUCUAAUUGUUUUAGUGUGUCUGACUCUCAUUGGUUUAUAUGUUUAGUCUUGUCCUUAUUUAAUACGAAUUAAAAUGCCACUGCCACGACCAGUCUGCAAAUAUGAGUCAGAAGAGAAACUGUUUCAAUAAUACUACGGACGGCACCCGUCUGGUUUGAUAUCUAGAUCAUAUAGAAUAAUGCUGGUUUUGUUUUCUACUACUAUUGCCUGGUAUUGCCAAUGAAGCGUUGAUUGUGAUUGUGACCACAAGUAUGUUUUGUUCCUGGUCCUAUUAAGUCAAAAGAGUGUGGUUUACUGCAUGUAUGUACGUGAGGCUGUUUUGAUUAUACUAAGUUCGCUUUAGAAAACCCACAUUCUGCCACUGCAGCGCUACAGGACAAUGAGAGAAGAAUUUCCAAUGAGAACAGUAUUUUAAAAGCAAACCGCUGGGCCCCUUCCCUUUAAAAGGACGUUAAGGCACACUACCCUUUCUUCUGAAUUUGAUUAUUUCUCAAAAUGACAUGCGAAUGCUGUCUUCAACAGAAGGUCCCCUUUCUUUCCCUUCUCAUUCAUUAUGUAAGGCGUAGCAAAUUUCAAAUUGCACAUUCCCGUUGCACACAGACAUUACGCUUCUUCAAAUCAUCGCUUUACUGCGCUGAGUAAAAACAUUCGAUGGUAACUCCUUGCGUUUGGUGAGUCUGGCUACCACAUGGCCGAUGGCGGCUUCAGGCUUAUCUUUCGGACUGUCGGCACCUUGCCUCUGAAGACCUGGGAACAUCUACCACUCAAUGUCUGCCACCCUUAGGUUCUAGCUCUCCAGAAUGAGGGUGAAGUUCUGGAGAGCCAGCGUCGCACCCCACCGGCUCGAGUUAUAGCAUUUAACCUCUGGCAACGCGCUUAUCUUCCAGGAAAAACAGGCUUCAGUCCUGAGCGGUGAAUAAGCCCGUCAAACGCAAUGUGUCCAGAAAUGUGCCUGACCUCCUUCACACCACUCUCCCUCCUACUGAGGUUUACUCAGUCUCUUCCAGCAGAUGACAGACGGGCAGUUAGCACGCUCGCCUCGCUCUCCACAUCUUCUCCUAGCUAAAACCUCAGCAUAAAUAACAAACUCAUGAAAAUCCGUCGCUCUUCUGUCCCCACUGAAACGAACCCUAGCUUUAAACCUAGAACAUGCAGCCUCCCUCCACUGCAGGCAUAAAAACAGUAAAGAAAAACCCUCCUGGAAUCAGUCCUAAUCUGGCAGUUUUUUUAAUAAAGCUUGCUUAUCAUUCCCUGUUUCACUCCUUUGCUCCCCACUUAGAGGCAUCCCUGCCCACAGCUUAAUGCUUUCAGGUCAUUUUACCAAGAUUUCUGUAACACUGGAUACAUCCAAGCUCUGUCUACACAGGUACUAAAUGGAGAUUUCAGUCUGACUGAACACUUGCCAGCUAAAUUUAAACCCAUUCUUUUCCCGAGUUUAUGAAGUGUCUGAAAUCCUGUGCUCGUAACAGAGAAUGAGGCUGGCCGUUCUUUUCCAGUUGAAUCAGAUUAGCUUAUCACUAAUAAAAAGCCCUUCGC
Long non-coding RNA from Cygnus olor (mute swan), 13738 nucleotides. RefSeq lists it as uncharacterized. The transcript is spliced from 2 exons. The record is from RefSeq and is a predicted model, not a curated record. NCBI's taxonomy places the organism in Eukaryota, Metazoa, Chordata, Aves, Anseriformes, Anatidae.